GGAGGAAAAGAAACCAACAGGGAUUGCCUUAGUAGCGGCGAGUGAAGCGGCAAAAGCUCAAAUUUGAAAUCUGGCGCCUUCGGUGUCCGAGUUGUAAUUUGAAGAUUGUAACCUUGGGGUUGGCUCUUGUCUAUGUUUCUUGGAACAGGACGUCACAGAGGGUGAGAAUCCCGUGCGAUGAGAUGCCCAAUUCUAUGUAAGGUGCUUUCGAAGAGUCGAGUUGUUUGGGAAUGCAGCUCUAAGUGGGUGGUAAAUUCCAUCUAAAGCUAAAUAUUGGCGAGAGACCGAUAGCGAACAAGUACAGUGAUGGAAAGAUGAAAAGAACUUUGAAAAGAGAGUGAAAAAGUACGUGAAAUUGUUGAAAGGGAAGGGUUUGAGAUCAGACUCGAUAUUUUGUGAGCCUUGCCUUCGUGGCGGGGUGACCCGCAGCUUAUCGGGCCAGCAUCGGUUUGGGCGGUAGGAUAAUGGCGUAGGAAUGUGACUUUACUUCGGUGAAGUGUUAUAGCCUGCGUUGAUGCUGCCUGCCUAGACCGAGGACUGCGAUUUUAUCAAGGAUGCUGGCAUAAUGAUCCCAAACCGCCCG
Molecule: ribosomal RNA, 583 nt
Filed under: Meyerozyma guilliermondii
Lineage: Eukaryota; Fungi; Ascomycota; Pichiomycetes; Serinales; Debaryomycetaceae
Description: partial large subunit ribosomal RNA
Rfam family: Eukaryotic large subunit ribosomal RNA
Source: RNAcentral